This is a non-coding RNA of Thermodesulfovibrio yellowstonii DSM 11347, 70 nucleotides long. The record is from Rfam. NCBI's taxonomy places the organism in Bacteria, Pseudomonadati, Nitrospirota, Thermodesulfovibrionia, Thermodesulfovibrionales, Thermodesulfovibrionaceae.
UUUAAAAAAGGCGAUGGAGUUCGCCUGUAAGUGCCUCUGAUUUUCAGGGGCUGAUAACUCCUACCUUAAA